GGCUCAGGACGAACGCUGGCGGCGUGCCUAAUACAUGCAAGUCGAACGGUCUUUUCUAUGGAAGCUUGCUUCCACUGAAAAGAUAGUGGCGAACGGGUGAGUAACACGUGGGUAACCUGCCCAUAAGAGGGGGGAUAACAUCCGGAAACGGGUGCUAAUACCGCAUAGUUUUCUUGAUCGCAUGAUCGGGAAAGGAAAGACGGCCUUUGUGCUGUCGCUUAUGGAUGGACCCGCGGCGUAUUAGUUAGUUGGUGAGGUAACGGCUCACCAAGACGAUGAUACGUAGCCGACCUGAGAGGGUGAUCGGCCACAUUGGGACUGAGACACGGCCCAAACUCCUACGGGAGGCAGCAGUAGGGAAUCUUCCGCAAUGGACGAAAGUCUGACGGAGCAACGCCGCGUGAGUGAAGAAAGGUUUUCGGAUCGUAAAACUCUGUUGUCAGAGAAGAACAAGUUGGAGAGUAACUGCUCCAGCCUUGACGGUAUCUGACCAGAAAGCCACGGCUAACUACGUGCCAGCCGCAGC
RNAcentral lists this ribosomal RNA (526 nucleotides) under uncultured bacterium. RNAcentral's name for it is "bacterial SSU rRNA". It matches the Rfam family "Bacterial small subunit ribosomal RNA", at positions 21 to 518 of the family's 1533-position model. The record is from RNAcentral.